RNAcentral lists this ribosomal RNA (301 nucleotides) under uncultured bacterium. Its description in RNAcentral is "partial 16S ribosomal RNA". It matches the Rfam family "Bacterial small subunit ribosomal RNA", at positions 509 to 807 of the family's 1533-position model. The record is from RNAcentral.
CAGUAGCCACGGUAAAACGGAGGGGGCUAGCGUUGUUCGGAAUUACUGGGCGUAAAGCGCACGUAGGCGGCUUGGUAAGUUAGAGGUGAAAGCCCGGAGCUCGACUCCGGAAUUGCCUUUAAGACUGCCGAGCUAGUAGGUGAGAGAGGUAAGUGGAAUUCCGAGUGUAGAGGUGAAAUUCGUAGAUAUUCGGAAGAACACCAGUGGCGAAGGCGGCUUACUGGCUCAUUCUAGACGCUGAGGUGCGAAAGCGUGGGGAGCAAACAGGAUUAGAUACCCCCGUAGUCCCUGUCUCUUAUAC